UACGUAGGUGGCAAGCGUUAUCCGGAAUUAUUGGGCGUAAAGAGUGAGCAGGCGGCAGUUUAAGUCUGAGGUUAAAGCGUGGGGCUCAACCCCAUAAAGCCUUGGAAACUGAACAGCUAGAGUACGAGAGAAGUAAGCGGAAUUCCAUGUGUAGCGGUGAAAUGCGUAGAUAUAUGGAGGAACACCAGUGGCGAAGGCGGCUUACUAGCUCGAAACUGACGCUCAGUCACGAAAGCGUGGGUAGCAAAUA
RNAcentral lists this ribosomal RNA (250 nucleotides) under uncultured prokaryote. Its description in RNAcentral is "partial 16S ribosomal RNA". It matches the Rfam family "Bacterial small subunit ribosomal RNA", at positions 524 to 774 of the family's 1533-position model. The record is from RNAcentral.